RNAcentral lists this RNase P RNA (434 nucleotides) under Vibrio sp. RNAcentral's name for it is "RNase P RNA component class A". It matches the Rfam family "Bacterial RNase P class A". Rfam says of the family: Ribonuclease P (RNase P) is a ubiquitous endoribonuclease, found in archaea, bacteria and eukarya as well as chloroplasts and mitochondria. Its best characterised activity is the generation of mature 5'-ends of tRNAs by cleaving the 5'-leader elements of precursor-tRNAs. The record is from RNAcentral. Lineage: Bacteria; Pseudomonadati; Pseudomonadota; Gammaproteobacteria; Vibrionales; Vibrionaceae.
GGAGUUGACUGGAUAGUCGCUGCUUCGUUGAUGUCCUUACUUGUUUUUAUUUCGAUAGGAAUUAAGUGGGAGACUGUCGGAGGGGAGGAAAGUCCGGGCUUCAAAGAGCAGGGUGCCAGGUAACGCCUGGGGAGCGUGAGCUCACGACAAGUGCAGCAGAGAGAAGACCGCCGAUGGCUUAAUUCCGAUCCUUUCGGGGAGAAGAUAAGCACAGGUAAGGCUGAAAGGGUGCGGUAAGAGCGCACCGUGCGUCUGGCAACAGUUCGUAGCAAGGUAAACUCCACCCGAAGCAAGACCAAAUAGGCCCUCACAUUGCGUUGCUCGCGUAAGGGGGCGGGUAGGUUGCUCGAGCCAGUGAGCGAUUACUGGCCUAGACGAAUGGCUAUCGCCGCGCAAGCGGAGACAGAACCCGGCUUAUGAUGUCAACUCCACCU